This 485-nucleotide ribosomal RNA is filed under the name uncultured bacterium. Its description in RNAcentral is "partial 16S ribosomal RNA". It matches the Rfam family "Bacterial small subunit ribosomal RNA", at positions 29 to 523 of the family's 1533-position model. The record is from RNAcentral.
AGUGAACGCUGGCGGCGUGCUUAACACAUGCAAGUCGAACGAGAACGGAAUAUAGCUUGCUAUAUUUGUCAGCUAAGUGACGCACGGGUGAGUAAUGUAUAGAUAACCUGCCCUUAAGAAAGGAAUAACAGUUGGAAACGACUGCUAAUGCCCUAUAUGCCUUUAAUACAUAAGUAUGCAAGGGAAACGCUUUAGUGCUUAAGGAUGGGUCUGUAUGGUAUCAGCUUGUUGGUGAGGUAAUGGCUCACCAAGGCUAUGACGCCUAACUGGUUUGAGAGGAUGAUCAGUCACACUGGAACUGAGACACGGUCCAGACUCCUACGGGAGGCAGCAGUGGGGAAUAUUGCACAAUGGACGAAAGUCUGAUGCAGCAACGCCGCGUGGAGGAUGACACAUUUCGGUGCGUAAACUCCUUUUAUAUAGGAAGAUAAUGACGGUGCUAUAUGAAUAAGCACCGGCUGACUCCGUGCCAGCCGCCGCCGUAA